AAUCUCCACCAUCUACACCCAACAACGAUAAUAAAAGAAUGAAACGUAAAAUAGGUAAACGAUAUAGUAAUUUGGGCGUUAAUGGAUCGAGUUAUUGGUUCUCCAACACGUAACAAAACCGUACAAGUUUUGCAAGUCAAUAAAAUUAUUUCUUUAAUAUAGAGUUGUUUUAGACAGGGUAACAAUUACUUUGAAAUUUUGGAAGUGUUAGAUGCAAAUUUGAAUAAGCAAUCAACGCCCAGGUAGACAAUGUUUGUUCAAUAGGUGCAAGUCACUACCGUUGUUAUUUUUUUUUU
RNAcentral lists this unclassified non-coding RNA (296 nucleotides) under uncultured bacterium. RNAcentral's name for it is "contains 16S-23S intergenic spacer region". The record is from RNAcentral.